GUGGGUAGUUUGACUGGGGCGGUCUCCUCCCAAAGAGUAACGGAGGAGCACGAAGGUUAGCUAAUCCUGGUCGGACAUCAGGAGGUUAGUGCAAUGGCAUAAGCUAGCUUGACUGCGAGAGUGACGGCUCGAGCAGGUGCGAAAGCAGGUCAUAGUGAUCCGGUGGUUCUGAAUGGAAGGGCCAUCGCUCAACGGAUAAAAGGUACUCCGGGGAUAACAGGCUGAUACCGCCCAAGAGUUCAUAUCGACGGCGGUGUUUGGCACCUCGAUGUCGGCUCAUCACAUCCUGGGGCUGAAGUAGGUCCCAAGGGUAUGGCUGUUCGCCAUUUAAAGUGGUACGCGAGCUGGGUUUAGAACGUCGUGAGACAGUUCGGUCCCUAUCUGCCGUGGGCGCUGGAGAAUUGAGGGGGGCUGCUCCUAGUACGAGAGGACCGGAGUGGACGCAUCACUGGUGUUCGGGUUGUCAUGCCAAUGGCAUUGCCCGGUAGCUAAAUGCGGAAGAGAUAAGUGCUGAAAGCAUCUAAGCACGAAACUUGCCCCGAGAUGAGUUCUCCCUGACCCUUUAAGGGUCCUGAAGGAACGUUGAAGACUACGACGUUGAUAGGUCGGGUGUGU
Molecule: ribosomal RNA, 615 nt
Filed under: Enterobacter mori
Lineage: Bacteria; Pseudomonadati; Pseudomonadota; Gammaproteobacteria; Enterobacterales; Enterobacteriaceae
Description: partial 23S ribosomal RNA
Rfam family: Bacterial large subunit ribosomal RNA
Source: RNAcentral